Molecule: long non-coding RNA, 892 nt
Organism: Aegilops tauschii subsp. strangulata
Lineage: Eukaryota; Viridiplantae; Streptophyta; Magnoliopsida; Poales; Poaceae
Source: RefSeq, a predicted model, not a curated record
GGCUUCAUCUGUAAUAACGGUCAAUUUAACAGUCUGUACGUGGUAGUUUUAUGAAAGGGAAACACUCCCACCCAAUAGUCUGAUUAGAAGCAAAGCGUCGGACCUGUCCACACCCGUCGAUCCUAGCUGAAUCCCACGGUUAACAUAAUCUAAUCCCAUCCCCACUUUUCAUCAACAAAAAAGGAAGUAAAUCACGUUGCCCAGUCUCCCCACUAAUUUAUCCCUCUAAUCACUCCCCCAUCAUCUCUUUCUUCUCUGUUUCCUCGGACGCACCUCCGCCGAGCUCGCCGUCCACCCACACCACUCCCCGUCAUCUUGGAUUGAACGCCAGCCACCAAAGCAUAUCAUAAUCCCCUCGCUCCUCCCUCACCACGCCGCCCAGAUCCGCGAUGGCGCUCCUCCCUAAUCCAUCUUCCUCAUCUCCGGUGCGGCCCCGGGGCGACAUUACAGGUGCUCCAUCCCGACCUUAGGGGGCCGAGCCUCCCAUCUCCAUCUCGAUUGGGGCUUCGGCUGCCGGUGUAGCUAUCCAUCUUCAUCAUCCCCGAAGGAUAACCAGCAGUUUACAUCCCUCUGUUUCCCCCCUCUUCGAAGUGCCUCUCCUCAGAAUGGAAGACAUUUUGCUACACGCAAUUCCAGCUAUGCUUCUCUGCUGUAUAACGCCCAAAAUGUUCGAGUGUUCUAUGAGCUACUCUAAGUUGUCGGUUGUACUAUGCAUGACGGAGAGCUCAUGGCGCACGCUGAUCUUGUCCAUGUCCAGCUUGUCGAGCUGCUGCCACUAUGACGGAUAUGAAAAACUGAAAUGUUUGGUUGUAAUACGAUUCUACUUUUGUUGUAAAAAAUGAAGGAAAUAUGCCCUAGAGGCAAUAAUAAAGUUGUUAUUUAUAUUUCCUUA